CGGGGUGUAGCGCAGCUUGGUAGCGCGCUUCGUUCGGGACGAAGAGGCCAUGGGUUCAAAUCCCGUCACCCCGA
This 74-nucleotide transfer RNA is filed under the name Chloroflexota bacterium. RNAcentral's name for it is "Chloroflexi bacterium (wastewater metagenome) tRNA-Pro". It matches the Rfam family "tRNA". From Rfam's summary of the family: Transfer RNA (tRNA) molecules are approximately 80 nucleotides in length. Their secondary structure includes four short double-helical elements and three loops (D, anti-codon, and T loops). Further hydrogen bonds mediate the characteristic L-shaped molecular structure. tRNAs have two regions of fundamental functional importance: the anti-codon, which is responsible for specific mRNA codon recognition, and the 3' end, to which the tRNAs corresponding amino acid is attached (by aminoacyl-tRNA synthetases). tRNAs cope with the degeneracy of the genetic code in two manners: having more than one tRNA (with a specific anti-codon) for a particular amino acid; and 'wobble' base-pairing, i.e. permitting non-standard base-pairing at the 3rd anti-codon position. The record is from RNAcentral. RNAcentral also lists the same sequence under 2 other names. Lineage: Bacteria; Bacillati; Chloroflexota.